CAGGGCGCUGCUGGCGGGGUCGGCGGGAGGGGGCUGCGGCGACGGCGGCAGGCGGCGGCGGGGUGCCCGCGGCUCGGCGCGGCGCGGCGCGGCUGGGCGGACAGCUCCCACCAUGGACGCCUAGGGCAAAGGUGUAAAUGAAAAAGGCAUCUGAAAUGCCUGAAGGUGCAAGUCUUCCACGAGACGCGUCCACAGUCUUCCCCGACUCACCAGUUAAUUGUGUUAAAGCUAAGUUCCUGAGCCAUGCUGAAAGUCUUUAGAAUUCUUUACAAGCUCUGGGAAAACAUAAAUAAGCAUGUUCUCUGUAUGGUAUGCUUACAUUCUCUGAGAUACCAGUAUUUUAUCUAUUUAGUCUAAUUUUGAACAAUUUUGUUUUCUAAUUAUAGAUAAAUCUUGUAGCUGAGCAACAGAACAUGUACCCUUUUAACUUGGAUUCUUUCUUUUCUGUCUUUUUUUUUCUUCUUUUUUUAAUGCUCCUUAAUGGCCCAUGUUAUAGCCAUGUGGUUGAACCACAUCUAAGUAUAGUACAAUUGCAUUUCUAAUGCACAUUGGCAUUAGCAACCACUUGCUUGUGUAAAGGGCCAAGACAUGCAUUUGAAAACACAG
This is a long non-coding RNA of Aquila chrysaetos chrysaetos, 606 nucleotides long. RefSeq lists it as uncharacterized. NCBI's taxonomy places the organism in Eukaryota, Metazoa, Chordata, Aves, Accipitriformes, Accipitridae. The transcript is spliced from 3 exons. The record is from RefSeq and is a predicted model, not a curated record.